Molecule: ribosomal RNA, 114 nt
Filed under: Labrus bergylta (ballan wrasse)
Lineage: Eukaryota; Metazoa; Chordata; Actinopteri; Labriformes; Labridae
Source: RNAcentral
GCUUACGGCCAUACCACCCUGAACACGCCCGAUCUCGAUCUCGAAGCUAAGCAGGGUCGGGCCUGGUUAGUACUUGGAUGGGAGACCGCCUGGGAAUACCAGGUGCUGUAAGCU